RNAcentral lists this ribosomal RNA (140 nucleotides) under Myotis yumanensis. Its description in RNAcentral is "partial 16S ribosomal RNA". Lineage: Eukaryota; Metazoa; Chordata; Mammalia; Chiroptera; Vespertilionidae. The record is from RNAcentral.
AACUAAACAUAGCUCAAAAUAUAUAACAUACUACUAUUCCAAUAACAUUAAAACUAAAACAUUUAUUAUAAUAAAAGUAUAGGUGAUAGAAAUUCUACAUGACGCUAUAGAGAAAGUACCGUAAGGGAAAAAAUGAAAGA